CCUAUGCCUUCCAGAGAAUUAGAAAGUAAACAUUUAAAAAAUGUAAAAAAAUUGAUAAGAGUUUAGUGUAAUUUGGGGGAAGUUCAAAGAGGAGGGGAAUGAAUGAGAAUUAGCCAUAUACUAUAGCAACAGGAGUAAAAAUAGAACAUGAAAAGCUUUUCUGUGGUCUCAAGUGCCAUUGAGAGCACUGUUGUCAGUGGGGGCUUAGGUCUGAAAAAUGAGGUGUUUCACUUGAUCACAAGGCACUAAAUUGGAACUUUUAGCUGGAGCCCCAAAUGCCCUAAAUUAAAAGGAGUUUACCACCCUGUGUGUGUGUGUGUGUGUGUGUGGCAAGGGGGAGGGUCUUGGAGGAUGUACAUUAAAGGAACUAAUUAGAAUGCAAAGCAGAGGAAAUGUGCUAACUUGAGUGACAUACUUAUUGACAUGAGGUGGAGGGAGGAGUUAACGAUGGUUUUGGUUAAGGCAGUUGAGGAAGUUUCCAUGGGGAAGUGCCAUUUUAUCUGGGCCUUGAAGAACGAGUAGUUUUUGACGAGUGUAGGUAAAUUAACAGCAGUAACAAUGACAGAAACUAAAAUUUGAACGUGUUAGGUAUUGUGCUAAGCUCUUUUAAAUGUAUCAUCUGAUAGACCUCACAAAAGCUCUAAGAGGUACACACAAUUACUGUCCCUAUGUAAAGGUGGGGAAACUGAGGUAGAUGCAAUUUGACCAGUAUCACACGAGUGCACUUGAAUUUGGAUGCAUUGCUUCAAGCAGCUGUGCUCUUUCCAAGAGAGAGGGGCAGUUGAAAAGGAGAGAACACCUUGAGCAAAGAGCUACAUGAGCAGUUUUGGUGAAAUUGCAAGGUUUUGUGUGGCCUAAUUAUAGGAUGUUUGGGGUAAUGAGGUCUGAAAAAGACCUAGAAAUGAAGGUGGGGCUAGAAUGUAGAGCCUUGAAUAUCAUUUCAAGGACUUUUUUGUUUUCUUCCAGGCAGUGGGGAAAUAUGGAUUUUUGUGUAGAGGGUAAUGUGAUUUGACUAGUGGUUGUAGGAUGAGUCUGGUGGAGGCCUGAAGCCUGGCUUUGAGAGGCGAGAGACUGGAGUUCAGGGGAACAGGUACCAAGGGAAAGAGCCAAAUUGGGGUUAGUGGGAAAGAGCACCAGCAGAUAGGGAGACACUGUGGGAAGUUUAGCUGGCUGGGUAUUGUAACUGCUUGUGUAUAGGAGUGAGGAGAGAGGCUGUCAGUCUCCACUGUUAGGAAUAUAGUGACACUGUUGAUCUAAGGAGUUCAGAAGCAAGAGCGUGGGAGGACGACUCUGUGUUAGGUUUGAAGCAUGUUGAGUUGGAGGGAUACAUACUAUCCAGAUGUCCAGUGGGAAUUUGGAAAAAUCUCAGUCUAGGGCAGGGUAAGAGGAUACACAGAGAGCUAAGAGUUGAAGCCUUGCAACAGAACAUAGGACAAAGCUGGGAAGAGCAAGGCUAGAUCUCUACAGAAUACCUGCUUUCAAAGGAUUAGGUGGGUGACUCGAAAUUGGUAGAAGACUUAAAAGGGUGUUCACGAAAGGCCUUCUCCAGAUUGUCCUGGAUUCCAAAGGAGAGUGUUUCAGGAGGGACAGAUUGUCAAGAGCUACAGCCAGGUGCAUAGUGUAAACUCUGAAAAAAGCCCAGUAUUUCUCAAAUCUUUUAGUGUCA
Molecule: long non-coding RNA, 1666 nt
Organism: Equus caballus (horse)
Lineage: Eukaryota; Metazoa; Chordata; Mammalia; Perissodactyla; Equidae
Source: Ensembl